ACGGCCAUACCAUGCUGAAUAUACCGGUUCUCGUUAGAUCACCGAAGUCAAGCAUCACUGGGCGCAGUCAGUACUUGGGUUGGGGACCACGUGGGAACACCGUGUGCCGUU
This 111-nucleotide ribosomal RNA is filed under the name Caerostris darwini. The record is from RNAcentral. Lineage: Eukaryota; Metazoa; Arthropoda; Arachnida; Araneae; Araneidae.